Ctenopharyngodon idella (grass carp) is the source of this 4691-nucleotide long non-coding RNA. RefSeq lists it as uncharacterized. The transcript is spliced from 3 exons. NCBI's taxonomy places the organism in Eukaryota, Metazoa, Chordata, Actinopteri, Cypriniformes, Xenocyprididae. The record is from RefSeq and is a predicted model, not a curated record.
UGAACUAACCCUUUAAAAUAUCUUCUUUAGUGUUCAACAGAAAAAAGAAACUCAUAGGUUUGAAACAACUUUAGGGUAAGUAAGUGAUGCCAGAAUUUUCAUUUUUUGAUGAACUAUCCAUUUAAUAAUCAUAUUAAGCCAUUUUGCGAUUCCUGUUUUUUUGUCUUCAAAAUGUAGACCUCUUGAAAAGAUAAUUAAGGCUUUUUAAGACUUUUUAUCGACUUAAAUUGAAUAAAACUGAAUUUAUGGGCCCUGGCUUACCAAACAUGCACAUCUUGAGCCUGGUGUCACUAAAUGUAGUUUUUCGUUUAUGCUGAUCUUUCAGUCUCUUCACUGCCCAGUUAAUCUGAGAGGCCAGCUCAUUGGUUAGAGUACAGGCCAGCAUGCUUCUAAUGCGUGCCUCAACUGAUGCUGCUCCCAGAAUAGCAAAACGGCCAACCUAUAAGGGUGUUAGGGACAUCUUAGCACAGAACAUUGAUAGGUUACAAAAAAUGCCAUUGGAAAAUAUUUUUCCUGCUGGCUGAACUAGUAUCCAAAGUGAAAGAACUCUGUCUAGAGGUCCAGGGUUUCAUGAGACAGCUACCAGUCUCUCCUCAUUACUUCUCUCGCUCCAUUUAAAAGAUCUGACAGAGUUAGAAGAAGCAGAGUUGGCUGUUCCAAUGCACAAAUAAAAUGUUCUUUGAAAUAGACACAAGGGAAUACAAAGUGGGGUGGAAUCAUGUUCCCCAGGGCAUUGAUGGCACAAGCAAGGGUCACAAGUGUCCCUGUCUCUGCUGAUGUGGAUGACCCAACCUGUCUACCACCGCAUCUGGCAAAAAUAACGUCUGGGUUUGGGACAGUCGUAACCCCAGUUUCAAACCAGUUAGGUUGUGGGCUCCGUACAGAAAUACAGGGCUGACUCUUCAUAAAAGCCAUAAAACAGUCUCGGGUGGCCAUGGAAUUAUCAUUCCAGGUUUCAGGAUAAUUACAGUGGUAACGCACAGCCAGCUGAAAUGCAAAUCAACGAACCUGAAACCUGCUUCUAGUUCUAUCUAUUUUUACCACAACCAGGGGGAGUACCCUGGGUUCGGGCCAAAAUUCUGAGCUUGGAGCCCUCCCCCCAGGACAGCAUGCCAAAUACGCUUAACCUUUACUCUGUUUAAUUAUAUGUAAAUAUGAACUCAUGAACAUUUAAAAUGUUUGUUUUGAUUGACAUUGUUAUAUUGUAUAUUUGAUUGUUCUUUCUGCAAGUACGUACAUAUACUUUUUCAUUGAAAUGUCAAGAUAACAAAAUUGGCCUUUGUUAGAAUAACUUACAAGAAGUAACACAGAAGUAACACAGGAAUAACUGACGACGGGCCAUUGAAUUCUUAGAAGAUAAUGCACACCCGAGGUGGUAAUGCGGCCACGACACGAAGCAGAGUUCGAAUUUCCGGUCAAUUAUUCCGCUUAUACUACAGUUACCACACCUCAAGACACUGUUUCGAUGGGGUAUUUCAAGACAUUUGUCAGGUUUUUGUCCUUAAAACACUCUUAUGUGUGGGACUAAUUUCUUACGCAUCUCAUCCCAAGCCUCCGUUGCUAAUUCCAAAAUGUAAUUUCAGAACUAGUAACGGAGGCUUGAGCCUUGACAGCAGAAUAAUACCGUUGAUACAGUUAUUAACGCACUUAUUAACGGAGAGAGAGAGAGCAUAUGUGAAUUAGCCUACCGGAGCGUAAAUAAGUUUAUCUACCUCAAGAAUCGCACAGUUAUUACCUCGCUGGUGAAUCAUUUUACUGAUUCAUUCGUCAGAGCAGCGCUGACAAAACGUUUCUGUGCGAGUGUGUCUGUAUGUUUUACAGUGUGAGUGUACAUUUGAAAGAGAGAGAGGAUGCGCUUUCAGGACACAAUAAAACGUAUUUUGUUGAAAAAACCAUGACGCUAAUUUGUCGUUUUCAUCCUAUAGUUUACUAUAUUUAUUUGCUUGGUCGGUGUCGUUGUGGGUUUUGUUUCUUUUGCUGUUAUAGACUGUAAGGACCUUUUGAAAUAACUAAAAUCAUUUGGCGAAGUGAUAUGGAGCUGUAAUGCGGUCAAGACCUGCCUAGAACUACUUUAGCUGUGCGUUUCCCUGAAAAUAACUGCACACCUUAGAACGUUAUUCGAGCAUUCAACAGCCCUGUAAUAUAAGUAACUUAGGAAAGAGCACUUAGUUAAAAAAAUAAAGGUAAUUUUUAAAACUAUGGUUGGCAAGUGUCUACAUUAUGUAUUGGUUUUUGAACACACCAUCUACAUUAUCUCUAUUGACAGUCUUAGUGGAACAAAACCCUGAUACUGUCCAUAGGGAUCAGGGAAACAAUCACGUAUUGUCCACACGCAGCAGCUGGGAAUGUCCACCCUGUCAUAGUGCCCCAUAUUGCCAAACAACAAAUUGACAGUAAGCAGCAUAAUGGAACUGUCUGUUGCUCUCCCCAGGCUCCACAGCGUCAGGAACAGCUCCGAUAUCAGUCCAGAUAUGUCUGGCUAAGUGUAGUACCCUCUCUUGUAGAAUAUAGGCCUCCAUAUGGGGAAGUCUGGAGAUGCAGUGCUGCUGCACUUGUUGCCCACAACACUUACGUUCUAAGUCAGAUGGCAUCUCUCUGCAGUCACUGGAGACCAAGUAUGCUGACUAGAUGGAGGAGAAUCUGAAGCUAUAAAUUGCAUGAUGUCAAACAUCUGACUGGGGUCCUGGGUAAGACAAAUCCCCAGAAUAUGACAACACUGUUCUAAACUCAGUCAUCGAACUCUGCCCUGUGGGGCAAAACAUGAUUUAAAAUCAUUUAUAUCGUUUUUAAUAAACACACACCACAUCUGAAGUUAAAAUCUUCAGUUUAUUAUAAUGGACUACCUAGGCCCUUCUCAUUAAGCUUUCCCUUCCCCCAACUGCACUCCCAAAAAAUAAAGCCAUUAUUAAAAAAUAGUCUGCAAAAUCUGUCCCAAGCAGACUAAACAACAUAUUUAUGCCUGUCCAAAACAUGUAUUAAGCUCCAAUGAACAGUAUCCUUUUGAACUUUUUUUAGAGCAGUUGCUUCAAACUCUCUUGCAUGUUUUCCAAACUUUGUUCGAAAACUGCUAACUCCUCAAUCCUUGCUCCUUCGCAGUGUAGUAUGAGAUCUCUCUGCAGGACUUCAUCCAGUGGGUGUUCAGCCAUUGCAUCCUGGACCAUGUGCAGUGCUACCACAGAACUCUCUUUAAGGUUUUCAAUAAGCAUACCUUUGAUGAAAGAGUAUUCUUGUUCCACUGCCCCUUGUUCAUGAGACAGUGUGAGCAGAUGUUUAGUUUCUCGAUUGCUUAAACACAUUUCUUGAAAUUGUACUCCUUUUCUCGACAAAUCCAUAAGUACACAAAUGCUCCUCACAGGUGCAUACACUAAUUGCUUAACUGAUCACUAACCAAUCACUGCUUUACUGCAGUAUAGGCCUAUAAAUAGAUCAAAGGUCAGAUUACCUGUUUUGAACAAUGGAUGCCAACAAUGGACAGAGAGCAAGAGGAGUAGGAGGAAGAGGAAGAAGAGGACAAGGGCAAAGAAGACAAGGAAGGAGAGCCAUCUCUGAUGAGAUUAGGGCAACACUUGUUGAUCAUGUGAUUAACCACGGUUUGACCAUGAGAGAGGCUGGACUGAGAAUCCAGCCCAACUUGAGUCGAUUUACAGUGGCAGAAAUGAGAACAGAGUGGAAAGGCAAAGACAUCAUGGAGGACGAGGACGCUUGUUUACAGAUGUACAAGAGACUGCAAUUAUAAAUAUAUAAGAGAGAUAAGAGAGCAUAUCUUGAAUAAAGACACCAUAUUUAACAACAUGAAUGCUGUAAGCCUGUUGACCCUACAACGCAUCCUCCAGCGGCACCAAGUGACGAUGAAACAACUUUACAAGAGAGUAUUGGAGAUGGAUGCCCAUGUAAUUCGCCAUGAAUUUAUUUAUGUGGAUGAGGUUGGCUUCAACCUCACCAAAACCAGGAAGAAAUGUAAUAGGACAGAGGGCAAUUACCAAUGUCCCUGGACAGCGUGGGUGUAAUAUAACUAUGUGAGCUGCCAUCACUCAAAACGGGGUCCUCCAUCACAAUGCCGCACUGGGUCCGUACAACACCGGCCAUAUGCUCACUUUUCUUGAUGCAAUUUACAGAAUGCUUGUCCCUGAUUCAGAUCAGGAGCCUGCUAGAUUUGUGGUUACAUGGGACAAUGUUCGUUUUCACCGGGCUGUUCUGGUCCAAAACUGGUUUGCCACCCAUCCACAAUUUGUAGUUUUGUACCUACCCCCAUAUUCACCUUUUCUAAAUCUGAUUCUUCUCAGCCUGGCACUGGAAAGUGUAUGAUCGCCAACCCUAUGCCCGCAUACCACUUCUCCAGGCAAUGGAGGACACAUGUGGGGACAUAGCCUCUGUCCAAGGUUGGAUAUGCCAUGCUAGGAGAUACUUCCCUUGAUGUUUGCCAAGAGAAAACGUAUCUUGUGAUGUGGACGAAGUAUUGUGGCCAGACCCAGCCCGGAGAAGAGAUGAAGCGUAGCUUUGCACUGGUGACUGUCCACCCCCCACCAAUUCCUGGACUGCUCCCCCGGGACCCCCCCACACACAAUUGUGUUCUUUACUGUAUUUUAAAGAAUAUACUUUUGGUUUACAUAUGUUUAUGAUUUUGUUGUAUGCUACUCUAUAACAGUAAUGUUUGGCCUAAUAAAUAUUUUCUGUUUCUACAUUGCAUUGGU